This 253-nucleotide ribosomal RNA is filed under the name uncultured bacterium. RNAcentral's name for it is "partial 16S ribosomal RNA". It matches the Rfam family "Bacterial small subunit ribosomal RNA", at positions 524 to 776 of the family's 1533-position model. The record is from RNAcentral.
UACGUAGGGGGCUAGCGUUGUCCGGAUUUAUUGGGCGUAAAGGGCGCGUAGGCGGCCGAUCAAGUCGGAGGUGAAAUCCCUCGGCUCAACUGAGGAAUUGCCUUCGAUACUGUUCGGCUUGAGUCCUGGAGAGGGUAGCGGAAUUCCCGGUGUAGCGGUGAAAUGCGUAGAGACCGGGAAGAACACCAGUGGCGAAGGCGGCUACCUGGACAGGUACUGACGCUGAAGCGCGAAAGCGUGGGGAGCAAACAGG